This is a long non-coding RNA of Myotis davidii, 1364 nucleotides long. RefSeq lists it as uncharacterized. Lineage: Eukaryota; Metazoa; Chordata; Mammalia; Chiroptera; Vespertilionidae. The transcript has 3 exons. The record is from RefSeq and is a predicted model, not a curated record.
ACAAAUAUCUCCAGAAUUCACACAGACAUUCCAUGAUCUCCCAAAGCAAGGUACGGUGACGAGCUGCAGGCUGGUGGAACUUUGAAAUAAUCAGCGCUUCCCGGUGGCAUGUAACCAAGUCAAAACCCGUUACCCCGGAGAGCCAAGAACCCCCAAGGAAGGGGAGCAAAAUGUGGAGGAGGUGCCUUUUAGUUUGGGGGCUUCUAAGGGGAUGAUCUUUAGGCAGCCAAAAUGAAAAUUCACAGACUCCACCUCCCCACAGAGUGGAGAAAAACAGAAGCCCCGCAACCCCAGAGAACAGGCGCUGGAAUACAGGCAAAUCUAGGAAAGAGGAGUCAAAAGCUGUGCUGAAGACAAGGCGCUAGAGAGAGGACUAGUGAGCCAGGCUGUAGGCAUCCGGGUAGAGAGAGCAGCAAGAGUGACUGAGGCUGCUGGGAAGGAUCCAAUGAGGAUGCGAGAGGGCACUGCCUCCGAAAUCCUGCUCUGAGCUCCCCUCUCUCAGGGCUCUAAGAGUUACCUGCGUCGGGAGCCUCAUGAUUACGAUUAAUCGUCUUCCACCACCAGCACAUUUCCCUCGGAUUUCCCUUGAACCCUCCCAGACCCAGCAACUGUGGGAAGCGUAGUAUCUGGAAGCCCAGCACCGCCACUCUCCCCCUCCUCCCUGUUACCCCCCCACAUGAGCCAGUGAUCACUUUAGCAUGACCAGAUCCUCAGCAUUUGGGGGGAGGGGGGUGUCAACGAGCUGAAGAUGCCGCUGAGGCCGAGUGCAGUCGGGGGCGCUGCGCCCAAGGCUCAGGCAAGGGGACCUGGAUAGAAGCGCAGGGGCUGCAGCGCAGGCGGCGGGAGCUCUCCGAGGUCCUGAUUUCACAGCGAACCCUGCAGCCCGAGACUCAGAGCCAUUGACUCGCAUCUGAAACCUCAGCACCAGAUGGAUUGAGAAGCGAGAGCUUUGGAGGUCCUGGCGCCCGUCCCCCGGGGAGCAGGGGGCAGGCGGCGAGGUGAGCCUCCCGCGCCCCCUCCGAUCCCCGCACGGUCACCGGGGGAGAGCGCCCUGAGAAUGGCUGGGAGGCAGGACGCAUUCUUUGGCCAUUUUCGCAUCCCCGCUCCCCACCCUGCAGGAACGCUCUCCGGCCAGCUCGGUGGGACUGAGGCAGCGAAUGAUAGCGGGAAUCGACAUUUGGCCGGGAUGGAAGCGUUCUUGGCUGCAUUCCAGCCCUAAUGAUGUCAUAAUGCAGAAGUUUUUCUUCAGUCAUCUCAUUUUACCAAAAGGAUGAUUUCUGUAUAUGUCUCUGUGUUUUAUGGAGACUGUGUCUAGCUGGAGGAUCUGAGAGAUCAGCAUAAAAAGGAUGAAUAUCCCAAAUUAC